UUACCCUGGCGCUGCAGCUGGUUCACCCCGUCAGCCAGACGGGCGUGUCGUAAGAGGGAACCCGGUGGGAAUCCGGGACUGCCCCGCAGCGGUGAGCGGGAACGACCGCCGUCAUACGCACUGGGCCCACGCUCGAGCCCGGGAAGCGACGGCCAGUAGAUGCCUCGCACGUACGACUCGUUCGUACGCGAGGCGUGCCCGCGAGUCCGAAGACCUGCCGCUGCCCGUACGCCACG
This is a regulatory RNA element of Streptomyces chattanoogensis, 236 nucleotides long. The record is from Rfam. NCBI's taxonomy places the organism in Bacteria, Bacillati, Actinomycetota, Actinomycetes, Kitasatosporales, Streptomycetaceae.